This is a non-coding RNA of Podarcis lilfordi (Lilford's wall lizard), 83 nucleotides long. NCBI's taxonomy places the organism in Eukaryota, Metazoa, Chordata, Lepidosauria, Squamata, Lacertidae. The record is from the annotation of a GenBank genome assembly.
AGGUGUUGUGGGACUACAACUCCCAUCAUUCCUAGCUAGCACGGCUGGUCAGGGAUGGUGGGAGUUGUAGGUCAAGAACAUCU